This 301-nucleotide ribosomal RNA is filed under the name uncultured bacterium. RNAcentral's name for it is "partial 16S ribosomal RNA". It matches the Rfam family "Bacterial small subunit ribosomal RNA", at positions 509 to 807 of the family's 1533-position model. The record is from RNAcentral.
CAGUCGCCGCGGUAAUACGUAGGUGGCAAGCGUUAUCCGGAAUUAUUGGUCGUAAAGCGCGCGCAGGUGGUUUAAUAAGUCUGAUGUGAAAGCCCACGGCUCAACCGUGGAGGGUCAUUGGAAACUGUUAAACUUGAGUGCAGGAGAGAAAAGUGGAAUUCCUAGUGUAGCGGUGAAAUGCGUAGAGAUUAGGAGGAACACCAGUGGCGAAGGCGGCUUUUUGGCCUGUAACUGACACUGAGGCGCGAAAGCGUGGGGAGCAAACAGGAUUAGAUACCCCCGUAGUCCCUGUCUCUUAUAC